This 456-nucleotide ribosomal RNA is filed under the name uncultured bacterium. RNAcentral's name for it is "bacterial SSU rRNA". It matches the Rfam family "Bacterial small subunit ribosomal RNA", at positions 53 to 507 of the family's 1533-position model. The record is from RNAcentral.
ACAUGCAAGUCGAACGAGAAUCUGUGGAACGGAGCUUCGGCGAAGGGAAGCAGAGGACAGUGGCGAACGGGUGAGUAACGCGUGAGGAACCUGCCUUUCAGAGGGGGACAACAGCUGGAAACGGCUGCUAAUACCGCAUAACACGAUCUGACCGCAUGAUCGGAUCGUCAAAGAUUUAUCGCUGAAAGAUGGCCUCGCGUCUGAUUAGCUAGUUGGCGGGGUAACGGCCCACCAAGGCGACGAUCAGUAGCCGGACUGAGAGGUUGAACGGCCACAUUGGGACUGAGAUACGGCCCAGACUCCUACGGGAGGCAGCAGUGGGGAAUAUUGGGCAAUGGGGGAAACCCUGACCCAGCAACGCCGCGUGAAGGAAGAAGGCUUUCGGGUUGUAAACUUCUUUUACCAGGGACGAAGAAAGUGACGGUACCUGGAGAAAAAGCCACGGCUAACUACGUG